This 224-nucleotide unclassified non-coding RNA is filed under the name uncultured fungus. Its description in RNAcentral is "sequence contains ITS1, 5.8S rRNA gene". The stretch from base 176 to 224 matches the Rfam family "5.8S ribosomal RNA", at positions 1 to 49 of the family's 154-position model. Lineage: Eukaryota; Fungi. The record is from RNAcentral.
UUUCCGUAGGUGAACCUGCGGAAGGAUCAUUACUGAGGGGCUUCGGCCCCAUCAAGAUACCACCCCUUGCAUUUCGAGCACCUUCUGUUUCCUCGGCGGGCGACAUGCCCGCCAACGGGGACUCCACCAAACUCUUUUGUAGUUGCAGUAAACGUCUCAAAAACAAAUAAAUCAAAACUUUCAACAACGGAUCUCUUGGUUCUGGCAUCGAUGAAGAACGCAGC